GCUCAGCUAUAAACCCAGAUAUUUAAUACACAAAAAUAUCCGCCAGAGAACUACGAGCAAAAUGCUUAAAACUCUAAGGACUUGACGGUACCUUAAACCCUCCUAGAGGAGCCUGUUCUAUAAUCGAUAAUCCACGAUCUACCUCACCAUCUCUUGCCAGUACCGCCUAUAUACCGCCGUCACCAGCCUACCCUAUGAAGGACAUAAAAGUAAGCAAAACAACAAAACAGCUAACAAGUCAGGUCAAGGUGUAGCUUACUGAGAUGGAAGAAAUGGGCUACAUUUUCUAAACUAGAAAUAUUUUACGGAAAGAACUAUGAAACAAGUCUUAUAAGUAGGAUUUAGCAGUAAAUAAGGAUCAGAAUGCCCUAUUUAAGCCGGCCCUAAGGCACGC
This 394-nucleotide ribosomal RNA is filed under the name Indotestudo elongata (Elongated tortoise). RNAcentral's name for it is "partial 12S small subunit ribosomal RNA". It matches the Rfam family "Bacterial small subunit ribosomal RNA", at positions 794 to 1384 of the family's 1533-position model. Lineage: Eukaryota; Metazoa; Chordata; Testudines; Testudinidae. The record is from RNAcentral.